UGUAUCAGCUGAUAGCUGCGAUAUAUUCGUAGAGGAAAGUCCGUGCUAGCACCGACUGCGAUGUUGGUAGUGUUCAUGUUAAGUUAUAAUAAGCUUAAAAAGCUCUAGACGACUAGCGCCACAGAGACGAGAAUUGUGAAACGGGUAAACUCCGUGAGCUAGAAACCCAAAUUUGGUAGGGGAACUUUGAAUAGGAAUUGAACGAUUUCAAAGAAUAUUAUUAAAUAUUAGAUAAAUUAUCAGCGCAUUUUUAAUGUACAGAACACGAGCUUAUAGAU
This 278-nucleotide RNase P RNA is filed under the name Mycoplasmopsis cynos. Its description in RNAcentral is "RNase P RNA component class B". It matches the Rfam family "Bacterial RNase P class B". From Rfam's summary of the family: Ribonuclease P (RNase P) is a ubiquitous endoribonuclease, found in archaea, bacteria and eukarya as well as chloroplasts and mitochondria. Its best characterised activity is the generation of mature 5'-ends of tRNAs by cleaving the 5'-leader elements of precursor-tRNAs. Lineage: Bacteria; Bacillati; Mycoplasmatota; Mycoplasmoidales; Metamycoplasmataceae. The record is from RNAcentral.